RNAcentral lists this non-coding RNA (31 nucleotides) under Mus musculus (house mouse). The record is from RNAcentral. Lineage: Eukaryota; Metazoa; Chordata; Mammalia; Rodentia; Muridae.
UGAGAACCGUUUCUUCAGUUCUGCUUUGCCU